This 112-nucleotide ribosomal RNA is filed under the name Dientamoeba fragilis. RNAcentral's name for it is "5.8S ribosomal RNA". It matches the Rfam family "5.8S ribosomal RNA", at positions 3 to 115 of the family's 154-position model. Rfam says of the family: 5.8S ribosomal RNA (5.8S rRNA) is a component of the large subunit of the eukaryotic ribosome. It is transcribed by RNA polymerase I as part of the 45S precursor that also contains 18S and 28S rRNA. Functionally, it is thought that 5.8S rRNA may be involved in ribosome translocation. Lineage: Eukaryota; Parabasalia; Tritrichomonadida; Dientamoebidae. The record is from RNAcentral.
CCUUAGACAACGGAUGUCUUGGCUCUUUACACGAUGAAGAACGUUGCAUAAUGUGAUAAGCGGCUAGAAUUGCUUAAUUUGUGAUAAGUUCGAUCUUUGAAUGCACAUUGCG